RNAcentral lists this small RNA (919 nucleotides) under Pan troglodytes (chimpanzee). Its description in RNAcentral is "retained intron". The record is from RNAcentral. Lineage: Eukaryota; Metazoa; Chordata; Mammalia; Primates; Hominidae.
AUCUGCGUAUCAUCACGGUAUCCCGCUUUUCCCCCAGUUCCCCAAGAGCGUCCUUCCUUUCCCUAGUCACAGGAUCGCAGUUUUGGUCUGAUAGCGCAUCCACCUACCCCAGUGUUGCAUCCCCACUUCCCUCUUUCCAUCUAACGUGGUGGCCUUUCCUGGGGAUACCUUGGGUAUCCCCCGCUGGGAGAGCAAGCACAAGACACCAGGGAGCCAGACCCCUGCCGCUCCCCUGCCACAGGAUAUGAAUACGAGCCUCAGCUGGUUGGAGCAGCUGGAUGUGCUUCUCAACGCUACUGAUGGAAAUGUGGUCCGGAAUAAGCAGUGGCUGUAUCCUCUUGGGGUCUCCACAGAGCUCAUUGGCCUGUGCAUCUGUUUCUUCUGUAGCAGUGGCUGUAUCCUCUUGGGGUCUCCACCGCAGAAUAGCACUGCUGUCACUCCUACAGUGCUGUGGGAGGACUCAGAGAUUAUGCAGAAGGAAUUGAAGUUGCUGCAGUACCAGUUGAGCCAGCACCAGGAGCUGCUGCUGAAACAGCUGGCUGAGGGACGACAGGCUCAGGUUGGCAGUUGGAAGGUAGGACUAGGUUCAGACUUGUCUCUGCAUAUUUCUCUAUGGAGGACCUUUCCUUUCUCUGUCUAUCCUGUUCUGCAGGGAGGCCAGGAUACCCUCUCCUGCCCCUGUCUCCAUUCCUCUCUUCCCUGUGCUGACUCUCUCUCUCUCCAGAGCUCUUCUUCCUAACCCUUCUGCUCCCGGCCAUGAGAAACUAUCCUUGCCGACAUGAGGGUUCCAAGUGUGCUGAAGAGGACAGUCAUGGGGAGGGAGAGAGGGAGAGGUUUGGUUCCACCUGAGCCCAUGAUCUGGCAGAUGUUACAGCAGUUGCAAAGUGGCCAGGAAGGCAAGGGUCAUACCCUGGAGGCU